This is a long non-coding RNA of Pseudonaja textilis, 283 nucleotides long. RefSeq lists it as uncharacterized. The record is from RefSeq and is a predicted model, not a curated record. Lineage: Eukaryota; Metazoa; Chordata; Lepidosauria; Squamata; Elapidae.
GUAAUAUCCUAAAAUAUGGAAAAUCAUCUUGAUAGGCUACUAGUAACAGAAUGAAAAUAUCAAAGGGCUGCUUUUGAUGCAGAAAAGGAGGUAUUCUCAAAUUGAAUUAAGCUGUGGGUCUUGCUAUGCAAAGCAACACGCACCAAAGCAAUGAAUGGAAAAAGCAGCAUACUCUAUCUUUAGGCAACACAGCUCACUAAUCCAGAUGCUUUGCCAAACACCUAGGAUACAAGAAAACAAAACAAUUAAGAGUAACAACAACAAAUAACAACAAAAGAAGAAA